UAUGAGUAUUCUAGCUCAAUUUUACUAUUUUUAAAAAAGUUCAUAUGUAAAUUUUAGUGAGACGUAAGAAAGCUUUUAAAUAAAUUACGAUUUUAUGAGGUCGCAGUGAAAAAUUUUAUUUAUUUAGGGAUCUGAGAAAUAGUUAAUUUUGAAAUAUAAACUAAGUUUGUGCCAGCAGUUGCGGUUAUACUUACUAUGUAAUGGUAAAUUUUUAGUUGUAGACAAAUAUUGAAGUUGUGAAUUAAAAAUUUAAUUUAUUAGGUGAAAUUUUAAUUUUUUUUUUGGUUUAUUUUUAUGAUGUUGAAUUUAAUAAAGUUUUAGUAUAGACUAGGAUUAGAUACCCUAUUAUAAAAAGUUUAAAUUUAAAGGCUAAAUUAGUAGUAGUUGUGUUCUUGAAAAUUAAAGGAGCUGGCGGUUUUUUAGUCUAUUCAGAGGAACUUGUCCUAUAAUCGAUGGUCCACGAUAAGAGGUACUUAUUUUUUAAAUUUACAUAUCGCCGUGGGUUGAAUAUCUUUUAAGAGUUAAAAUGUUCAAUAGUUUUAGUGAAAUUAAAUCAGGUCAAGGUGUAGUUUAUAAAUGAGAAGAGAUGAGUUACAAUAAAUUUAUUUGAUGGAUGAAAAUUUUUAAAGUUUUUGGAAAAUGGAUUUGAAAGUAAUUUUAAAAAUUUUUUUAAAAUGAUUUUAGCUCUAAAAUAUGUACAUAUCGCCCGUCGCUUUCAUUACAAGGUGAAAUAAGUCGUAACAAAGUAGAUGUACUGGAAAGUGUCUCUAGAAAGA
This 776-nucleotide non-coding RNA is filed under the name Trigonopterus sp. 8 AH-2016. Lineage: Eukaryota; Metazoa; Arthropoda; Insecta; Coleoptera; Curculionidae. The record is from RNAcentral.